RNAcentral lists this long non-coding RNA (206 nucleotides) under Vigna radiata. RNAcentral describes it as "long non-coding RNA (VRAD_LNC014200)". Lineage: Eukaryota; Viridiplantae; Streptophyta; Magnoliopsida; Fabales; Fabaceae. The record is from RNAcentral.
AAGAGACAAGAUGAAAAAAAAAAAGAAAAAAAAAUACAGAAAAAUGAGAAAAAUAAAAAAAAAUGUUGUGAAUAAUGGAGUCAAGAAGAGGAUUGAAUUAGAGGUUUUGGGUGUGAUUUGAUUGUAUUUUCACUUGUUCCCCAUUGCUCCUCUAUUCCUUUUGGUUUGUAGCUUCUCAUCCAUAUUUAUCCUCCUUUGUCCUUGGC